Molecule: ribosomal RNA, 444 nt
Filed under: uncultured bacterium
Lineage: Bacteria
Description: SSU rRNA
Rfam family: Bacterial small subunit ribosomal RNA
Source: RNAcentral
AGAACGAACGCUGGCGGCAGGCUUAACACAUGCAAGUCGAGCGCCCCGCAAGGGGAGCGGCAGACGGGUGAGUAACGCGUGGGAACGUACCCCUCGGUUCGGAAUAGCUCAGGGAAACUUGGAUUAAUACCGGAUACGGCCUAGCGGCGAAAGAUUCAUCGCCGGAGGAUUGGCCCGCGUUCGAUUAGCUAGUUGGUGAGGUAACGGCUCACCAAGGCGACGAUCGAUAGCUGGUCUGAGAGGAUGAUCAGCCACAUUGGGACUGAGACACGGCCCAAACUCCUACGGGAGGCAGCAGUGGGGAAUAUUGGACAAUGGGCGCAAGCCUGAUCCAGCCAUGCCGCGUGAGUGAUGACGGCCUUAGGGUUGUAAAGCUCUUUCGCUAGGGACGAUAAUGACGGUACCUAGACAAGAAGCCCCGGCUAACUUCGUGCCAGCAGCCGC